This 1688-nucleotide ribosomal RNA is filed under the name Triticum aestivum (bread wheat). Its description in RNAcentral is "partial small subunit ribosomal RNA". The record is from RNAcentral. Lineage: Eukaryota; Viridiplantae; Streptophyta; Magnoliopsida; Poales; Poaceae.
AAGAUCAGAAUUGGGAGAGGGCUUCUACGCACCACCAAACCAUGCCGGGCAGCAUCCGAGUCUCAGACAUUCAGCCACCGGUCGCCGCUCCACUCUUCUUGCAAGUUAACCUCGGGAAAAAAGAGUACAGCGGAUAUAUAGGACAAGAUGGCUUCUCUUUUCCAGUUACAUCACUUCGUGAUAGCAUGGUGUUGUCGCUGUACGAUGCAGACAAGGAAUUGGUAUCCAAAACAGAAUUGAAGACAAGGUCGAUUGUCGAGCAGGGGAGUACGGAUGUUGUGUUUAGCCUUGAUAGUGGAGGGCAAAUUGUUCUCCAAUUGCAGUUCUUGCUCAGUGAUGAAGAUCGCAAACGCAUCCAAGAAAUGAGGAACUCUGCGAUGAAAAGAAAGCAGCAAGAGCUGUUUGGGAAUGGCGACGAACUUUCUUUCCAAGACAACACACCACCUAAAGAGCAGGCAGAAGAGAUCUCCGACAUCACAAGCACAGAAGACCGACUCACGCUCCGGAAGAGCAUGUCGAUGGAUGAUCUGAAAGGGAAGGCUGUCUUUUCCGAAAUAAGCAUAGAUACGAAUAUGGCGUCUCCAAAGAACCCGCCGUUGCAAACUUCGACGUCCGAAGGCCCCAUUGACAUAAAGGGUCUACCGCCGAAAAGUGACAUUGGCUCUAAGAGAGGGCAGGGUGAACUGGAGAGCAGGUCGAGCAGCGCGGUGAAGAAGAUGAUCAGCGCCUUCGAGAGCAGCUCUCUGCAGGGACCGCCUUCGGUGCCAAUGAUCAAGUUGGAAGGGUCGUUGGAAGGGAUGCUAUCGGCUUCCACCAAUCCUCCAGACAAGUCAUCUGGCAAAGUGACCGUUACUUCUGGUGAUAUAGGUUCUGAGUCGCGGUUAGGAAGGCACAUCAUCAACAAGAAACCAAGCGCGUCUAGACAGGGCGAUUUGUUGAAUGCUCAGGAGAGCAGAAGACGGGGUUCCAGCAGGCGCGACAGAGCAGCCAAGACGAGCAUGGGAGAGAAUGCAGAAAAGCAAAAUCACCAUCGUCGCUCCAUCGCUCCAAUGCGUUCGGGGGUGACAUCUAGCAUCGCCUGGACUGGCCACCCCCACAUCUGCAUCACCACCGGGAGCAGGCAGCUGAAAGACCUCGUCGGGCUUAAGCACCUGAAUUCGAUGAAGAACAUAGAGCAGAGCGCAAGGGAAGAAGACACCAAACAAGGCACAAGCAACGACGACGCGGUGGGCUCCAAGCGGCGGCGAUUUUACGGGUUCCCUGCACUAAAUGGGUGGCUGAUCAACCAGGGGGUGCGCGGCGUGAUCGUCAUCAUAGCCUGCGGCGCGGUGUUCCUCAACAACAGGUGAAGGAAGGAAGAAGAGGACUUGAUACAAGAAGUUGCGGUCGAUGAGAUUUUCCUCUAGUUAACACUUGUUUGCUGGGAAUGCACCGAAGAGUUUUUCUUUCUUUGGGCAAUGAAAAAAGAGAUUAGGGAGUGAAAGGUAUGUAAAGACAACAUGAUUCUAGAGUAACUCUCUAACACACCCACGAGUGCCUCAUUAUCAAGGCUCUCAAGCACACAGUUUCAAUCAUUGUUGCUGAAACUUUUGUUUUCACGCGACCGUAUUGUGCCAAAUAAGUGAUCAUGUAUAAGGUUUCACGAUGGCUUAAUUUUGGGUACCAUGGACCAAUAUAUUUAUCUAUUU